UACAGAGGGGGCAAGCGUUAUUCGGAAUUAUUGGGCGUAAAGGGCGCGUAGGCGGCCUGGCAAGUGGAAGGUGAAAUCCCUCGGCUUAACCGAGGAACUGCCUCCCAAACUGCUUGGCUUGAGACCGGGAGAGGUGAGUGGAAUUCCUGGUGUAGCGGUGAAAUGCGCAGAUAUCAGGAAGAACACCCGUGGCGAAGGCGGCUCUCUGGGACGGUACUGACGCUGAGGAGCGAAAGUGUGGGGAGCGAACAGG
Molecule: ribosomal RNA, 253 nt
Filed under: uncultured bacterium
Lineage: Bacteria
Description: partial 16S ribosomal RNA
Rfam family: Bacterial small subunit ribosomal RNA
Source: RNAcentral